RNAcentral lists this long non-coding RNA (308 nucleotides) under Homo sapiens (human). RNAcentral's name for it is "HSALNT0142800". Lineage: Eukaryota; Metazoa; Chordata; Mammalia; Primates; Hominidae. The record is from RNAcentral.
AGAGGAAGUAAACGCACCUGAAGUCAGGAAGUUGGCCACCAAGGUUUACAGACUCAGCCAAUGGAAAGAUAGAUUACAGUUCACUGAAAACUCCCCUUGGAAAAUGGAGACCCAGCCUCUAUCAAGACAGCUACAAGCUCUGAAGGACUGACAAAGAAGCAUUCGCUGCAACGGAGAGAUGGCAAAUCAGAAUGCUUCUGAAAGGGCUUUGCUUUAGAGAUAGCUUUCAGAUUAGAUACUGCCACAAACAGAGCCUUAGUGACCAGGAGUGUGUUAAAAAUGUAGGAUGGGGAUGAAAACAUAAAUUG